RNAcentral lists this ribosomal RNA (492 nucleotides) under uncultured bacterium. RNAcentral's name for it is "partial 16S ribosomal RNA". It matches the Rfam family "Bacterial small subunit ribosomal RNA", at positions 29 to 507 of the family's 1533-position model. The record is from RNAcentral.
AGUGCACGCUGGCGGUAGGCCUAACACAUGCAAGUCGAACGGCAGCACAGUAAGAGCUUGCUCUUACGGGUGGCGAGUGGCGGACGGGUGAGGAAUACAUCGGAAUCUACUUUUUCGUGGGGGAUAACGUAGGGAAACUUACGCUAAUACCGCAUACGACCUACGGGUGAAAGCAGGGGAUCUUCGGACCUUGCGCGAUUGAAUGAGCCGAUGUCGGAUUAGCUAGUUGGCGGGGUAAAGGCCCACCAAGGCGACGAUCCGUAGCUGGUCUGAGAGGAUGAUCAGCCACACUGGAACUGAGACACGGUCCAGACUCCUACGGGAGGCAGCAGUGGGGAAUAUUGGACAAUGGGCGCAAGCCUGAUCCAGCCAUACCGCGUGGGUGAAGAAGGCCUUCGGGCUGUAAAGCCCUUUUGUUGGGAAAGAAAAGCAGCAGGUUAAUACCCCGCUGUUCUGACGGUACCCAAAGAAUAAGCACCGGCUAACUUCGUG